AACCCAUGAAUGGGAGUUUUUCUAAUCAACCCCUUGAACCUAUCCCAUGUCUGACUUAAAGUCUCUUCAGGUUCCUGUUGAAAAUAGGAUAUCUCCUGCUUGCCUUU
This 107-nucleotide small nucleolar RNA is filed under the name Vigna radiata var. radiata (mung bean). RNAcentral describes it as "Plant small nucleolar RNA R71". It matches the Rfam family "Plant small nucleolar RNA R71". From Rfam's summary of the family: R71 is a member of the C/D box family of snoRNAs containing the C (UGAUGA) and D (CUGA) box motifs. Multiple nearly identical copies of this snoRNA have been identified in Arabidopsis, and it is thought to function as a 2'-O-ribose methylation guide for 18S ribosomal RNA. The record is from Rfam by way of RNAcentral. Lineage: Eukaryota; Viridiplantae; Streptophyta; Magnoliopsida; Fabales; Fabaceae.